GACGUAGGGCGCGAGCGUUGUCCGGAUUUAUUGGGCGUAAAGAGCUCGUAGGCGGCUUGUCGCGUCGUCCGUGAAAACCUGCAGCUCAACUGCAGGCUUGCGGUCGAUACGGGCAUGACUGGAGUUCGGCAGGGGAGACUGGAAUUCCUGGUGUAGCGGUGAAAUGCGCAGAUAUCAGGAAGAACACCCGUGGCGAAGGCGGCGCUCUGGGACGGUACUGACGCUGAGACGCGAAAGCGUGGGGAGCGAACAGG
RNAcentral lists this ribosomal RNA (254 nucleotides) under uncultured bacterium. RNAcentral's name for it is "partial 16S ribosomal RNA". It matches the Rfam family "Bacterial small subunit ribosomal RNA", at positions 524 to 776 of the family's 1533-position model. The record is from RNAcentral.